Molecule: long non-coding RNA, 1093 nt
Filed under: Gossypium barbadense (sea-island cotton)
Lineage: Eukaryota; Viridiplantae; Streptophyta; Magnoliopsida; Malvales; Malvaceae
Description: long non-coding RNA (GBAR_LNC008192)
Source: RNAcentral
CCAUUUUUAUAAUUUAUCAUUAUCAAGCAUUUCCUCAACCAUUCCACAACCAUACCAUAAGAUCAUUUACACAAAAUAGGUAUAUUGCUAUACAUGCCAUACUUAAAUUUACAAGCCAUUUACCAAAAGUCUUCCGGAUAGUGUGACUGAGCCUUCGACCUAUCCCGACUCUUGAGCUGGCUUGUCCAAAACUACAAUGAGUAAGAAGGAGGGAGUAAGCAUAAAUGCUUAGUAAGUUCAUAUGCAAAUAAUAAGUAACAUAACAAACAGUUAUACCAAUCAACAUUAGCAUACAUCACUAAAACACAUAUCACAUUUCUGAUCAUUUUUCAUCAUCUUAUUACCUUAUAGUGGUUGUAUCAAUACUCAACCCGAGGGUUAAAUACAUACCUGUCCAAAAUAUCCAUUUCACAUCACUCACCAAUACUUCUCUUUACAUCUCGAAUAUUCCUCCAUUGAGUAGAACUUUACCCAUUGAACACAUCGGAAUAUAAUUCGGAUACAUGGAUAAUUUGCAUAUAAGUGCCACAUAUUCAAUCAAGCAAUCAUGUAACCCGCCCAUAAGCGAACUCGGACUCAACUCAACGAGCUCGGGCGUUCGCAUCCAUAAGUGAACUCGGACUCAACUCAACGAGUUCGGAUGCCUAGUUACAUCUCACGAACUCGGACUCAACUCAACGAGUUCGGACAUUCGCAUCCAUAAGUGAACUCGGACUCAACUCAACGAGUUCGGAUGCUCAACCAUCCUAGUGACAUGUCACUUGUAUCCUAAUCUAUUCCUAAGGUUCAAACGGGCUUUUUCCUCGAAAACUUAUCCUUGCCGUCUUCCGUAGAAUGCCGAAAUCAAUACUCGGUAACAAUUAUAUUUAACAAGUAGUUCACAUAAUUUACAUAUUAUUUGAAAUUAACCACAAAGCAUACAUUUCAUAAUAAAAUUUAGCAUAACAUAUAAUUAACAUCAAUAACUUAAAAAUAACCAUUAUGCUACAUUAUUUACACAUGAACUUACCUUGGUACCAAAAUACAAAGAUUUUGCAAUUUAGUCCACAAUCUUUUCUUUUCCUCGAUUGAGGUCGAUUCCACGUCUUUCUUG